This 147-nucleotide unclassified non-coding RNA is filed under the name soil metagenome. RNAcentral's name for it is "partial internal transcribed spacer 1". The record is from RNAcentral.
CCGAGUUUACAACUCCCAAACCCCUGUGAACAUACCACUUGUUGCCUCGGCGGAUCAGCCCGCUCCCAGUAAAACGGGACGGCCCGCCAGAGGACCCCUAAACUCUGUUUCUAUAUGUAACUUCUGAGUAAAACCAUAAAUAAAUCA